GAUGAAGAACGUAGCGAAAUGCGAUAAGUAAUGCGAAUUGCAGAAUUCCAGUGAAUCAUCGAGUCUUUGAACGCACAUUGCGCCCCCUGGUAUUCCGGGGGGCAUGCCUGUCCGAGCGUCAUUGCUGCCCUCAAGCACGGCUUGUGUGUUGGGCCCCGUCCUCCGAUCCCGGGGGACGGGCCCGAAAGGCAGCGGCGGCACCGCGUCCGGUCCUCGAGCGUAUGGGGCUUUGUCACCCGCUCUGUAGGCCCGGCCGGCGCUUGCCGAUCAACCCAAAUUUUUAUCCAGGUUGACCUCGGAUCAGGUAGGGAUACCCGCUGAACUUAAGCAUAUCAAUAAGCGGAGA
RNAcentral lists this unclassified non-coding RNA (346 nucleotides) under soil metagenome. RNAcentral's name for it is "partial contains 5.8S ribosomal RNA, internal transcribed spacer 2, and large subunit ribosomal RNA". The stretch from base 1 to 121 matches the Rfam family "5.8S ribosomal RNA", at positions 35 to 154 of the family's 154-position model. The record is from RNAcentral.